RNAcentral lists this transfer RNA (75 nucleotides) under Rhodococcus sp. (in: high G+C Gram-positive bacteria). Its description in RNAcentral is "tRNA-Asn". It matches the Rfam family "tRNA". From Rfam's summary of the family: Transfer RNA (tRNA) molecules are approximately 80 nucleotides in length. Their secondary structure includes four short double-helical elements and three loops (D, anti-codon, and T loops). RNAcentral also lists the same sequence under 3 other names. The record is from RNAcentral. Lineage: Bacteria; Bacillati; Actinomycetota; Actinomycetes; Mycobacteriales; Nocardiaceae.
UCGGCGGUAGCUCAGUGGCAGAGCGAUCGGCUGUUAACCGAUUGGUCGUAGGUUCGAAUCCUACCCGCCGAGCCA